UCCUCCGUGGCGCAAUUGGCUAGCGCGUCUGACUGUUAAGAAGCAAUCAGGAGGUUCGUGGUAUGUAAUUACACAUCUUAAUAUUAAAUUGUGUCGCUAACCCAUCGGUUAGGUUCGAGCCCACGCGGGGGAG
Molecule: non-coding RNA, 133 nt
Organism: Byssothecium circinans
Lineage: Eukaryota; Fungi; Ascomycota; Dothideomycetes; Pleosporales; Massarinaceae
Source: the annotation of a GenBank genome assembly